UUUACAUUACAGUUCACACUUGGUGUGGUACAUUCUGUGCCUUAGAACAAGUGUAUAACAACAUGUAUCCAACAUAUAGUAUCACUUAGAGUAGUUUCACUGCCCUGAAAAUCUUCUGUGCUCUGCCUCUUCAGCCCUCCCUCUCUCCUGUCCUUGGCAACUACUGAUCUUUUUACUGUCUCCAUAGUCUUGCCUUUUCCAGAAUGUCAUAUUGUAUUGCACAGUAUGUAGAGUUCCCAGACCUGGCUUCUUUCACUUGGCAACAUGGUCAUUUAUGAAGCUGGAAAAUCAAAAAACAAAAACAACAACAACAAAAAAACCUUAAUAUGAUUUAAAAACAAACCACAAAACUUUGGCUGCUAUGAAGAUAAGCAAGCAAGAAGAAGAAUGGACAUGUUUACUCCUACCCCUUCCCAAGUCUGUUUCUUCCCCUGUAAGUCUACCCGGGAGAGUAAAACUCAAGAAGCAGAUCGACGUCAAGAUUGGAGUAAGAAACAGAAAUACCCAGGAAGAGGGCAUGACAAUAACUGAUUGCAUUCUGAAUAGCAAAAUUUGGAUAAAAGGACUAUUGCAG
Molecule: long non-coding RNA, 574 nt
Filed under: Mustela putorius furo (domestic ferret)
Lineage: Eukaryota; Metazoa; Chordata; Mammalia; Carnivora; Mustelidae
Description: lncRNA (ENSMPUG00000024157.1)
Source: RNAcentral